This 269-nucleotide ribosomal RNA is filed under the name Cortinarius pulchripes. RNAcentral's name for it is "partial large subunit ribosomal RNA". Lineage: Eukaryota; Fungi; Basidiomycota; Agaricomycetes; Agaricales; Cortinariaceae. The record is from RNAcentral.
ACGCUUGAAGUCAGUCGCGUCAUCCAGGGAUCAACCUUGCUUUUGCUUGGUGCACUUUCUGGUUUGAUGGGUCAGCAUCAAUUUCGACCAUUGGAAAAAGGCUCUAGGGAAUGUGGCAUCUUUGGAUGUGUUAUAGCCCUUGGUCAUAUGCAAUGAUUGGGAUUGAGGAACUCAGCACGCCGCAAGGCCGGGUUUUUAACCACGUACGUGCUUAGGAUGCUGGCAAAAUGGCUUUAAUCGACCCGUCUUGAAACACGGACCAAGGAGUC